RNAcentral lists this transfer RNA (72 nucleotides) under Camelus bactrianus (Bactrian camel). It matches the Rfam family "tRNA". From Rfam's summary of the family: Transfer RNA (tRNA) molecules are approximately 80 nucleotides in length. Their secondary structure includes four short double-helical elements and three loops (D, anti-codon, and T loops). Lineage: Eukaryota; Metazoa; Chordata; Mammalia; Artiodactyla; Camelidae. RNAcentral also lists the same sequence under 2 other names. The record is from Rfam by way of RNAcentral.
AGAGGUACAGCUCGGUGGUGGAGUGCAUGCCUAGCAUGCACAAGGUCCUGAGUUCAAUCCCCAGUACCUCCG